GCCGCAUCAAGGGACACCGCCACCAUCCUUCAUCGCGGUCGACCGCCGCCGCCACCAGGCCGACCCCGUCCUUCAUCGCCAGGUUUGCCUUGUAUUGCUUCGCCAGCGAGCGCCGCCGCCACCAGGUCGACCCCGUACUGCAGCGCGGAUGACCGGCGCCUCAACCAGGUUGCCAGGUUGGCCCCGUCCUGCAUAGGCCGCCACCAAUCACGCCAGGUUUCAGGUUUGGAUUUGUGGUGAAGUGCUUAGGCCUAGAUCGAGCCCAGCCGCCAUGCGCGGCCACGGGCAGCGGGACACUCACCACACAGCACCCUCCACCGCGUGCCCUCCGCAUCGCCACCACGCGCCCUCCCUGUACCUCCACACCGCAGCACUGGCCAUGGCCGUCGUGAUGAGGCAGUGCGGGAGAGAUAGACCCUGCCUCCGUUGGCGGCAGCGCGAGCUAAGCCGUGUCUUCCGAUAGAGGCGGAGGGUAGAGAGGAGGGAAGGAAGCCGCCUGGUGGGUGCCGCCUGACGGGAAGAAGAUAAUAUUGCCUGGUAGUGGAGAUGUUCCAUAUAUGGAUCGUGCUUGUAAUUAGGGCUUUCUGAAGAAAUGGAGAUGGUUUGCUACUAAUAAUUAGGACUUCCAGAAAUAGUACUAGAAAAAGAAUACAAAUAUGGUCAACCAUCCAGGCAAUUGAAGCAAAUAUCCUCAUUACAGAACCUACAGUACUUUCCAUGUGCUCUGGGUUUAGAGAUGACUCUGAAUAUUGCCACUCCGUUUGUAUCUUAACUUGUUGCCGGCAAUAUAGCUGACCACUUACAAACGAGAUA
Long non-coding RNA from Lolium rigidum, 813 nucleotides. RefSeq lists it as uncharacterized. Lineage: Eukaryota; Viridiplantae; Streptophyta; Magnoliopsida; Poales; Poaceae. The record is from RefSeq and is a predicted model, not a curated record. The transcript has 2 exons.